UACGUAGGGGGGCUAGCGUUGUCCGGAAUCAUUGGGCGUAAAGCGCGCGUAGGCGGCCAGAUAAGUCCGGUGUGAAAGUCACAGGCUCAACCUGUGAAUGCCGCUGGAAACUGUCUGGCUUGAGUCCGGAAGGGGCGAGUGGAAUUCCUGGUGUAGCGGUGAAAUGCGCAGAUAUCAGGAGGAACAUCAAUGGCGAAGGCAGCUCGCUGGAACGGUACUGACGCUGAGGCGCGAAAGCGUGGGGAGCGAACAGG
Molecule: ribosomal RNA, 254 nt
Filed under: uncultured bacterium
Lineage: Bacteria
Description: partial 16S ribosomal RNA
Rfam family: Bacterial small subunit ribosomal RNA
Source: RNAcentral